GGAGUUAGCCGGUGCUUCUUCUGUGAGUGAUGUCCUUCCUGCCGGUUAUUGACCCGCAGGCCUUCUUCCUCACUGAAAGUGCUUUACAACCCGAAGGCCUUCUUCACACACGCGGCAUGGCUGGAUCAGGGUUGCCCCCAUUGUCCAAUAUUCCCCACUGCUGCCUCCCGUAGGAGUCUGGGCCGUGUCUCAGUCCCAGUGUGGCUGAUCAUCCUCUCAGACCAGCUACGGAUCGUCGCCUUGGUGAGCCGUUACCUCACCAACCAGCUAAUCCGACAUAGGCUCAUCCGAUAGCGCGAGGCCCGAAGGUCCCCCGNUUUCCCCCGUAGGGCGUAUGCGGUAUUAGCCUGGGUUUCCCCAGGUUAUCCCCCACUACCGGGCAGAUUCCUAUGCAUUACUCACCCGUCCGCCGCUCGCCACCAGGAGCAAGCUCCCCGUGCUGCCGCUCGACUUGCAUGUGUUAGGCCUGCCGCCAGCGUUCAAUCUGAGCCAGAGUCACAACUCGUAGACGUAGACGGCGGUCGUCGGACGACGGCC
This 537-nucleotide ribosomal RNA is filed under the name uncultured bacterium. Its description in RNAcentral is "partial 16S ribosomal RNA". The record is from RNAcentral.